AAAAAUCUUGACUGAAAAGAAUUUUAAAAUGACUGAGAGAAUUGAAAUCCAAAAUAAAUUAAAAGGCAGAGAAGAACAUAUAGCUGGACUAGAUGAUUUCAAGUCACAAAAUGGCUAAAUGAACUAGCACUUAAUCAAUGUUUAUUGACUGGAAGAACAGAACUGUUCCAAGACUGGAAAAAUGCAAAUAUUUUUCGUAACAUUCAAAAUGGAGAAACAGAUCCUGUCUCCUCCACACUGUGCAAGAUAUACUACAUACAGCUGGAAACUGGAACGAAAUGCUUCUUGACACCACAGAGCAUGGUCCAGAAAAAGCCAGGUGACCACUUGGAGAUUUGAAAAGGAGACUUAUUAAAGCACUGUGGUGAUGUC
Monodelphis domestica (gray short-tailed opossum) is the source of this 372-nucleotide long non-coding RNA. RefSeq lists it as uncharacterized. Lineage: Eukaryota; Metazoa; Chordata; Mammalia; Didelphimorphia; Didelphidae. The record is from RefSeq and is a predicted model, not a curated record.